GAACAGCCAAAGGGGGCCUCUGUAUGUAAGCUCUUGCUUAAGGAUGAGUCCGCGUACCAUUAGCUAGUUGGUGGGGUAAUAGCCUACCAAGGCGACGAUGGUUAGCUGGUCUGAGAGGAUGAUCAGCCACACUGGAACUGAGACACGGUCCAGACUCCUACGGGAGGCAACAGUGAGGAAUCUUGCGCAAUGGGGGAAACCCUGACGCAGCAACGCCGCGUGAGUGAGGAAGGUUUUCGGAAGCUCUGUCGGGUGGAAAGAAAGGCAUGAAGGCCAAUACCCUUCAUGUUUGACGUACCACCAAAGGAAGCACCGGCUAACUCCGUGCCAGCAGCUCGCGGUAGUUCGGAAU
Molecule: ribosomal RNA, 352 nt
Filed under: uncultured bacterium
Lineage: Bacteria
Description: bacterial SSU rRNA
Rfam family: Bacterial small subunit ribosomal RNA
Source: RNAcentral